Mytilus trossulus (common blue mussel) is the source of this 413-nucleotide long non-coding RNA. RefSeq lists it as uncharacterized. NCBI's taxonomy places the organism in Eukaryota, Metazoa, Mollusca, Bivalvia, Mytilida, Mytilidae. The record is from RefSeq and is a predicted model, not a curated record. The transcript has 3 exons.
AUUAAGACCGUGGGACCAUACGGUCUAACAAAUGUCUUAUAGAAGCAAUAAUAAGUGUCAUAAUCCGUACUUCCCCAGCAUAACUGUAAGACGUUACCGCAUCCGUUUUAACUUUUAUAUGGUUUUAUAAGGGAAGCUGAGCAAGCCUGUCGCCAUUAUCACGAAGACCAGUAAUGACAGUAUAUUGACAGGAAAAAAACAGAUAAAUAAUAAAAUGCCUUUGGUUAGGAAAAGAGGCAGACAUUAUGCCCAUGUUACAUAUGAAAGAGGUACAGAUGCCCUUAAAGUUUUUGAUGAAGUAAAGAGCAAGAUACUGUCCCAUCUGGCAGCAAUACUGUAUGACACUGUAUGACCAAUUCACAGACAAUUUGACAAAGAAUAACAAUAGAACACCAACAAUUCACAUAUGAGAC